RNAcentral lists this ribosomal RNA (690 nucleotides) under uncultured Bacteroidales bacterium. RNAcentral describes it as "bacterial SSU rRNA". It matches the Rfam family "Bacterial small subunit ribosomal RNA", at positions 51 to 730 of the family's 1533-position model. Lineage: Bacteria; Pseudomonadati; Bacteroidota; Bacteroidia; Bacteroidales. The record is from RNAcentral.
ACACAUGCAAGCCGAGGGGCAGCAUGGUCUUAGCUUGCUAGGGCCGAUGGCGACCGGCGCACGGGUGAGUAACACGUAUCCAACCUGCCGUCUACUCUUGGACAGCCUUCUGAAAGGAAGAUUAAUACAAGAUGGCAUCAUGAGUCCGCAUGUUCACAUGAUUAAAGGUAUUCCGGUAGACGAUGGGGAUGCGUUCCAUUAGAUAGUAGGCGGGGUAACAGCCCACCUAGUCUUCGAUGGAUAGGGGUUCUGAGAGGAAGGUCCCCCACAUUGGAACUGAGACACGGUCCAAACUCCUACGGGAGGCAGCAGUGAGGAAUAUUGGUCAAUGGGCGAGAGCCUGAACCAGCCAAGUAGCGUGAAGGAUGACUGCCCUAUGGGUUGUAAACUUCUUUUAUAAAGGAAUAAAGUCGGGUAUGGAUACCCGUUUGCAUGUACUUUAUGAAUAAGGAUCGGCUAACUCCGUGCCAGCAGCCGCGGUAAUACGGAGGAUCCGAGCGUUAUCCGGAUUUAUUGGGUUUAAAGGGAGCGUAGAUGGAUGUUUAAGUCAGUUGUGAAAGUUUGCGGCUCAACCGUAAAAUUGCAGUUGAUACUGGAUAUCUUGAGUGCAGUUGAGGCAGGCGGAAUUCGUGGUGUAGCGGUGAAAUGCUUAGAUAUCACGAAGAACUCCGAUUGCGAAGGCAGCCUGCU